RNAcentral lists this ribosomal RNA (253 nucleotides) under uncultured bacterium. RNAcentral's name for it is "partial 16S ribosomal RNA". It matches the Rfam family "Bacterial small subunit ribosomal RNA", at positions 524 to 776 of the family's 1533-position model. The record is from RNAcentral.
UACAGAGGUCGCGAGCGUUGUUCGGAUUCAUUGGGCGUAAAGGGCGCGUAGGCGGCGGGGCAAGUCUGAUGUGAAAUCCCGGGGCUCAACCCCGGAACUGCGUUGGAUACUGCCUUGCUUGAGUACUGGAGAGGAGACUGGAAUUUACGGUGUAGCAGUGAAAUGCGUAGAUAUCGUAAGGAAGGCCAGUGGCGAAGGCGAGUCUCUGGACAGUUACUGACGCUGAGGCGCGAAGGCCAGGGGAGCAAACGGG